AACGAACGCUGGCGGCAGGCCUAACACAUGCAAGUCGAGCGAGGACUUCGGUUCUAGCGGCGGACGGGUGAGUAACGCGUGGGAAUGUGCCCUUCUCUACGGAAUAGCCCUGGGAAACUUGGAGUAAUACCGUAUACGCCCUAUUGGGGAAAGAUUUAUCGGAGAAGGAUCAGCCCGCGUUGGAUUAGGUAGUUGGUGGGGUAAUGGCCUACCAAGCCGACGAUCCAUAGCUGGUUUGAGAGGAUGAUCACCCACACUGGGACUGAGACACGGCCCAGACUCCUACGGGAGGCAGCAGUGGGGAAUCUUAGACAAUGGGGGCAACCCUGAUCUAGCCAUGCCGCGUGAGUGAUGAAGGCCUUAGGGUUGUAAAGCUCUUUCAGCUGGGAAGAUAAUGACGGUACCAGCAGAAGAAGCCCCGGCUAACUCCGUG
Molecule: ribosomal RNA, 433 nt
Filed under: uncultured bacterium
Lineage: Bacteria
Description: partial 16S ribosomal RNA
Rfam family: Bacterial small subunit ribosomal RNA
Source: RNAcentral